CCUACGGGAGGCAGCAGUGGGGAAUUUUGGACAAUGGGCGAAAGCCUGAUCCAGCAAUACCGCGUGCAGGAAGAAGGCCUUCGGGUUGUAAACUGCUUUUGUACGGAACGAAACGGUCCUUUUUAAUACAAGGGGCUAAUGACGGUACUGUAAGAAUAAGCACCGGCUAACUACGUGCCAGCAGCCGCGGUAAUACGUAGGGUGCGAGCGUUAAUCGGAAUUACUGGGCGUAAAGCGUGCGCAGGCGGUUAUAUAAGACAGUUGUGAAAUCCCCGGGCUCAACCUGGGAAUUGCAUCUGUGACUGUAUAGCUAGAGUACGGUAGAGGGGGAUGGAAUUCCGCGUGUAGCAGUGAAAUGCGUAGAUAUGCAGAGGAACACCGAUGGCGAAGGCAAUCCCCUGGACCUGUACUGACGCUCAUGCACGAAAGCGUGGGGAGCAAACAGGAUUAGAUACCCUGGUAGUCCACGCCCUAAACCGAUGUCAACUGGUUGUUGGGUGCAUUAGUACUCAGUAACGAAGCUAACGCGUGAAGUUGACCGCCUGGGGNGGACGGCGCGAAGGUAGUAACGUUACAAUAGAGUUAGUAGGCGNGNGAGNGCGACGGACGACGACGAGGGAGGAGG
RNAcentral lists this ribosomal RNA (625 nucleotides) under uncultured bacterium. RNAcentral describes it as "bacterial SSU rRNA". The stretch from base 1 to 543 matches the Rfam family "Bacterial small subunit ribosomal RNA", at positions 338 to 873 of the family's 1533-position model. The record is from RNAcentral.